UCACUCUGAUAUGAAGACUUUUUCAUUCAUUAAUUUAAGUAGCAACUUACUUUCAAUUAUGUGUUGAAAGUAGCAUCACAACUUCAUUUAUUUCGAUUACAAUUUUUAAAAUAACAAAGUGGUCCACUUUCGCCAUCUCCCUUUAUUAUCGCAAUGGAAGGACUCAACAUUGCCAUUCAAGAAGCUUGUGAAAAAUCCUUAUUUCACGACAUUCGCCUCCCAAAGAGUGACUCUAACCUCUCUCAUCCUUUUUACACCGAUGAUGCGCUCUUUAUAGGCGAUUGGUCACAGAACAACCUUAAAAACUUAGCAAGAAUACUUUGGUGCUUCCACGUGGCCUCCACUUUAAAGUUAACUUUUAUAAAUCGAAGGAGUUUCGUCUUGGUGUCUCCGAGAGGAAAUUGGCUUGUAAUGCUAGGAUACUUAGGUGUGAUGUAGGAUCCUUUCCUUUCAAUUACCUUCAGGUCCUGGUGGGAGCAAAUAUGAAUCUCAUUUAAAAUUGGAAGCUCACAGUUUGAGAUGAUUCUUUAUCACCAUGUUUAGAGGGUCGAAGGCACCAAUACUGACCCAUGGCUUACUAUGUUAGAGGGUUAGAUGUUUGCAUGACUCUUGCAUGUGCAUAUAUUUAUAUGCUUAGCGGGCGGGGUCCAAUGGUUAUUCUGUAUGCUAUUACUUGCUAUACCUGUAGAAAAGUAUGGAAAAAACAUUCAAGUUUGCAAAAUCUAGUGCUUUUUUGGGGGAAUUGUACAACUAUAAUGGUUCAAGUUUAAAGCUAAAGUUGCAUAAAAUGGCUUCUAGUGUUGAACACUCCUUCCAAUGAACAUUUAAUAGGAACCAAACAUAAAUAUAUUUACAUUAAAUAGUAACUUGAACAAAAUAGUAAUAAGAAAAGUUAAAGAGCAUCUAAAUGACCUAUAUUUGAGGGAUGACUAGUUCUCCAAGAUAAUGGCCUACUAUCAAGAGGUAGACCAAUGGUGUUAAUGUUGCUCACUCUGAUAUGAAGACUUUUUCAUUCAUUGAUUUAAGUAGAAACUUACUUUCAAUUAUGUGUUUAAAGUAGCAUCACAACUUCAUUUAUUUUCGAUUACAAUUUUUAAAAUAAUAUGUAAGAUGCUAUGAUAAACAAAACAAUGAAGGUACAUUGCUUUUUUUUUUCGGUUAAAAUAACAAAGUGGUCCACUUUCCCCAUUUCUCUUUAUUAUUGCAAUGGAAGGACUCAACAUUGCCAGUCAAGAAGCUUGUGAAAAAUCCUUAUUUCACGACAUUCGCCUCCCAAAGAGUGACUCUAACCUCUCUCAACCUUUUUACACCGAUGAUGCGCGCUUUAUAGGGAUUGGUCACNAACUUAGCAAGAAUACUUUGGUGCUUCCACGUGGCCUCCGCUUUAAAGUUGACUUUUAUAAAUCGAAGGUGUUUCGUAUUGGUGUCUCCGAGAGGAAAUUGGCUUGUAAUGCUAGGAUACUUUCGUGUGAUGUAGGAUCCUUUCCUUUCAAUUACCUUGGGGUCCUAGUGGGAGCAAAUAUGAAUCUCAUUAAAAAUUGGAAGCUCACAGUUUAAGCUAGUUUCUCUUCUUGGAAAGUUAACACGUUAUCGAUUGGUGGGUGUCUCACCCUUUUGAAGUCGGUCUUACGAAGCCUACCUCUAUACUAUUGCUCAAUUUUCAAGGCUCAUAUUAGUGUUAUUGAGUCCCUUGAAAAAAUUUGUAGAAGAUUUCUUUGGGGUGGAAUCGAGAAGAAAAGAAAAAUACUUUGGGUCGCUUGGCCUAAAGUAUUAGCUUAAAAGGAAAAUGGAGGUCUUAAUGUUGGUUCAUUGCGUGCACUCAACAUUGCACUAUUGGUCAAACGAAUUUGGAGACCAAAGGAUGUUGAAAAAAUCUACAGUGAAUAACAUUAUUACAAGCAUACACAACCUACAUAGAAAGCCAUUAAAAUUGCUGUCAAAAAGAUCAUUAAAUGGCGUAUGGAACAACAUUGUAAAGGCAAACUCGGAACUUGAGAUGAUGGGAGUCGUCCCAGAUAACUUUAUUUUUUGUUUUUCAAGGAAACAAUGAGGAUACCAACUUCAGGAAUGAAAUUUAGCAAGGUACAUCUUCCUUCUCCACACAAUUGCCAAACAUAUUAUGCAUUAGAGAAGUGAAAAUCGGGGUACAUUUUGUAAUUUAUAUUUUGUUUUGAUGUCGUAUUUUCCCUUAAUCUCUGUACUCUCAAAAUUGUCUCUUUUGGUUGGUGCCUUUCUUGGCGACUUGCUAAGCUUGGCCUUAAUAAAUUCUCAUUGGUUCCAAAUAACAAAAAAAGUUAAUUUUCUGAUGGUUCGCAUAAAGGUGCAUACAUACGACAUUUAUUAACACAAACAAAAACUCAGUAGUUCAUACUCAAUUAAGAACAAUCCAAAUAAUUUAGAUAAUACUAUCGAGAAAUCCCUGUAGGUGAGUGUAAAUGGCUAUACAUGAUAUCACAUAGUCAUAAAUUUAAUGACAGCCUUGAAAAAAUGUCUCAAAUUAAGUUGUUUGAUUGAAUUGGUAAAAUGUAGUAGUUAACCCAAAAGUUUUUUGGAAGGUUCAUUCAUUAUCAAAAGUUAAAAGUUGUUUUGAUGAGUGAAAUCUUUAAUCCGUUAUAUAGUCAUAGAAUAAGAAAAUAAUGUGUUCGUAUUUUUUACUAAUCUGUUAUAGAUAACAAUCUGAAAUGAAUAUUUCAUAUGUAUUUAGAAUGAUACAAUACUUCAAAAACAUUCUUUAAUGGAAUUGUAAUUUUUCUGUUCUAGAGCACUAAUGAUCCUUUGGGUUACUACUUUUCAACCCCAAAGUAAUAUCAUUGUCUUAAGAUUUCAUCAGCAGUCGAAAAUACAAAUACAACCAUAAUGGCUCAUAUCACUUGAGAGCUCGCAAAUUCCAUUGCCCUUGUGUUUUUGAUAACAUUGCUCACGACAAUCACCAAGAGUACAAGCAUUUGGAUCCAACACCUCUGUACAUCUAUGCUGUCCAUUCACAGUGGAAGCUCCAACUGAAAAAUGAAAAAUAAAAUAAAAUAAACACGUUAAAUUUUAAUACGAACCAUAAAGUAAUAGAUAUUACAUAUAUGGCUAUCUUAAUAAAUAAAAAUAGAAGUCCUUGUAUGAAAAAUUCUCCAGCAAGAGAUUGGACAUGUUUGCAAUCAAUUAACAAAAUAUUAUCGAAUGCCUGUUCCCAGUUACAAAGAAACUUCAUGUAUAUUAAAAUUAAAAUAAUACCGUUCCAAAAAAAAUAUUUUAAUUUUAAAAUAAAAUUUUGGAAGCUAAACAUAUACAGAUCGAGAACACAAACCUGAGAUUACAACAAUGAAAACUAAGAAGAAAGAUGCAAGCUUGGCCAUGUUAAUGUGCAAUCACAGAGACUCAAUUCAGCGUGGGAUUUCGAUAUGUUUUGGUUUAGGGAUUGAUAAUCUUCAUUUAAAUAGACAUAGUGACCAUUAUUCUCUCUCAUGUUUUUCUAAAGUUACCGCUACAAAACAGCAACCUGUUAAAUGAAGGUAAUUAAUGAAAAAAAACUUCCAAUUGCAGUAAUAAGCUUUUCAAUUUAUCAUAUACUACACACACAAUCAACUCUCAAUCAGAGAUUGACGACACAAAUAUACAUUAAAAAUUCAUUAAUUUAUCAUUCACUUCAAAUGUUAUUUAAAAAAUGAUUCAUCAAAAUCAAAAUUGAGUCCAAAGUCUUAUGAAACCAUCAAUUAUGAGGUGAUUAUGCGUUUAAACGUAUAUAUAUUAAUUAAAUUUAAUAUAUAGUAGGUGUGAAACUCGUGUAUUACGCAUAGUUUAUUAAAAAAAUUAAUAUAAUCUUCUAAACCUUAAGAAAUUAUUAAAGUAAUGGUUUUACUUAUAUACAAAGUUUUUGAUGAAUAAGUAUGUAGUUGAAUCCAAUGUACUAAGAAUUAGUAUUGAGAUGGUAACACUCUAAUUUGGUAAGUUUUGCAUUUAACCCUCUUUAUAAAAAACUUUGCACUUUGGUCCUUUAGCUAGUAUACUAGGUGGUACGCUUGGCGUACUAGCCUGAUAUUGAUCACGGGUUCCAUCCACGUAUGCGGCGCGUACAUGGAGUACGCAUGGCGUAUGCAGGCUUGGGACAAACCCUAAUUUUUAGGGUUUGUGCCCUAUUCAAGCAUCAUAAACUCACCUCCUGGACAUUUUAGACCAACCCAAUAUCGCCCUAGCCUUUGUUUUAAAAAAAAUACAUACCAGGAACCCAACAUUACACUAAUAUCGCCCUAGCCUUUGUUUUGGUGCUUUUGAGCUCUUGUGAAACAUUUUGGUGUGUUCUUGUGUAUUUUGAAGUGGUAGAGGAGAUUGAAGGCUUAUUCAUUGGAGUGGAGCUUAGAGAUCCGGAUUUGGCAUCACCAUUUCGAGAUCUUUGAGGUAUAAAGUUUGUAUCUUGCCAACUUCUUGUAUAGAUCUACUCUUGGGUUCGUUUAUGACUACUUUGGUCCCUUUUUGUUGGUCCUUGUGAGAAAAGGUCGUUUCAGAAGCUUAACCCUUUAGAUCUGGACAUUUUAGGAGUCCCUUAUGCCUAAAAAUGCAAACUUUAUGGUGUUAAUGGAAUCAUGCAUGAGUUAAGACCUUUGUUAAGCUCUUUUGAGCUCUAGAGCCCCAUUAUGUCAUGCAUGCAUGUAAAGUUCCCAACUUUACGUGAUAAGCCAUGUUUUGAGACAAGGUCUAAGAGUAUGGAGUAGAGCUGAACCGUUUAAGUGCUUAAUGAAGUGGGAAUGGCACACCGGGGAGUAUGGCGGGCGGUGCGCUGCACGUAAUAGCCCUAGAAACAGUAUGCAUAGCGUACGAGCUAAGUACCUCCCGUGUACUCAACAUAUGGGUUUGGGUUAGACAUUCACGGUGUUGUGCCAUUGUUUGGGAUUCCAUUUCUUACGCCUUGUUGGACCAACAGACUUUUGUGUUGGACUUAAACUAGCUUGUUAGGCUUCAUUGGAUUUUAGGCCCAUGAUGGGUCUUAGACCCAAUUUCGAAGAUUGGUCCACAAUUUGGCCUUGGGUUGUCAAUUAGAGUUUGGGAUUUUUAGUAAUAGGAUUGGGCCUUUCUUUGGGCAAUAGAUUAGACCAAUGAUUUUUGAUUAAGACCUAAUUAAUAAAUUGGAUAUUUUUAAUAUUCAUAGCACGGGGAUUUUCGGACGAGAAGCCAGAAAUUUAUUUGUGUCAUCCAGUAGUUUGAGGUGAUUCUUUAUCACCAUGUUUAGCGGGUCGAAGGCACCAAUACUGACCCAUGGCUUACUAUGUUAGAGGGUUAGACGUUUGCAUGACUCUUGCAUGUGCAUAUAUUUGUAUGCUUAACGGGCGGGGCCCAAUGCUUAUUCUGUAUGUUAUUACUUGCUAUACUUGUAUGUCUGUAUGUUGGGCACGGCCCGUUAUACUUAGUGGGUGCGGCCCAUUUUGCGAGUUAGUGCGAGGCCCGUUAUACUUAGUGGGCGGGGUCCGUUACACUCAUCGGCAGGGCCCAUUAUAUGUUUGAUAUGUGUGGUAUGUGGUAUCUGGGGGAAAGUCAUUAAGCUUCCUGCUUAUGUUUUUUUUUAUUUUAUUUUAUUAUUUUUUUUUUAUGUUUCAGGUACUUCUAUUAUAAAGGGGAAGAGCUCUGGGUGAUUGUAGUGCACACACUUUGAACUAUCUUGGUUGUAUGAAUAAGUUUUGAGUUACUAUUUUAUAAAUUCUAAAAUGAAAAUUUUGGGUUUUAUUUUUGGGACGUUACAGAGAUAUUUUAUAUAAUUGUAAUGAAUCACAAAUUUCCAAAUAUUUCUUUGAAAACAACAUUAGAUGUGUUAUUGGUAAUGUUACAUCAUUGUCUAAAAUUAAUAUUUUCAAUUUAUUUCUGCUAUGAACUCUAUUGAAAAAACAAACAUAGAAAUAAAAUUAGCCGUACUUAAAAAGAGAGGAAUAAUGGCUUGAUUAUUAUCGAAAAUUUUGAGAAUUAUUAAAAAGGUUACACAUAUAUGAGAACUAAUAUUUUAGUGUAUAAAGAUGAAUGAUACAUAUAAAUUAGCAAAACCAAAUUUUCCCUUGAAAAUAAUAAUAAUAAUAAUAAUAAUAAUAAUAAUAAUAAUAAUAAUAAUAAUAAUAAUAAUAAUAAUAAUAAUAAAUUGUUAAUGCAUGCAUUACUCAAUCUACUGGUGUUAAUUAUGUAAAUCUUAUAAAAAUUAGGGGUCCCAAUGGAAAUUUACAAUAUGAUAUGAUGAGUACAACACCAAGAAAAUGCUUGGACCAACUUUGAUGUGUUCGGAAAAACACUAACAAUUUAGUCUCUCACGUGUCAACAACCAAAUUACCAAUUUAUUCACGAAAUAUAUUUAUAAAUAAAAUUAAUUUAAUAUAAAUUUACCCUUUUGCUAGCAGUCCAAUUCUUUAGUGCAUAUUUAUUUUUUCAGAUUCUUCCAUUAUUCUGAUUUGCAAUAAUCAUUUUUAAAUGUCUAAGUUUAAGUUUGGAAUUAUAAUUAUGAUAAAUAAGAAUUCAAAAAGCAUAAUACCAUGUUAUUAUGUUUUAAAUUAAAAGGUGAAAUUGUUUAUAUUAAUAAUAUACAAUAUGCGAUAGAACAAAUAUACUUGUUAACCUUUCAACCCCAUGUAUUCUAUAAGACUAAUCCAUGUACUAUUUAGACUAUUUUUCGUGUCGUACAGCCGCAACAAAGAAAGCAUUUAGGGUGGAAAAGAAUGGAAAAAACAUUCAAGUUUGCAAAAUCUAGUGUUUUUUUUGGGGGAAUUGUACAACUACAAUGGUUCAAUUUUAAAGCUAAAGUUGCAUAAAAUGGUUUCUAGUGUCGAACACUUCUUCCAAUGAACAUUUAAUAGGAACCAAACAUAAAUAUAUUUACAUUAAAUAGUAACUUGAACAAAAUAAUAAUAAGAAAAGUUAAAGAACAUGUAAAUGACCUAUAUUUGAGGGAUGACUAGUUCUCCAAGAUAAUGGCCUACUAUCAAGAGGUAGACCAUUGGUCUUAAUGUUGCUCACUCUGAUAUGAAGACUUUUUCAUUCAUUAAUUUAAGUAGCAACUUACUUUCAAUUAUGUGUUUAAAGUAGCAUCACAACUUCAUUUAUUUCGAUUACAAUUUUUAAAAUAAUAUGUAAGAUGCUAUGAUAAACAAAACAAUGAAAGUACAUUGCUUUUUUUCCCGGUUAAAAUAACAAAGUGGUCCACUUUCGCCAUCUCCCUUUAUUAUUGCAAUGGCAGGACUCAACAUUGCCAUUCAAGAAGCUUGUGAAAAAUUCUUAUUUCACGACAUUCGCCUCCCAAAGAGUGACUCUAACCUCUCUCAUCCUUUCUACACCGAUGAUGCGCUCUUUAUAGGCGAUUGGUCACAGAACAACCUCAAAAACUUAGCAAGAAUACUUUGGUGCUUCCACGUGGCCUCCGCUUUAAAGUUGACUUUUAUAAAUCGAAGGUGUUUCGUAUUGGUGUCUCCGAGAGGAAAUUGGCUUGUAAUGCUAGGAUACUUGGGUGUGAUGUAGGAUCCUUUCCUUUCAAUUACCUUGGGGUCCUGGUGGGAGCAAAUAUGAAUCUCAUUAAAAAUUGGAAGCUCAAAGUUUAAGCUAGGUUCUCUUCUUGGAAAGUUAACACGUUAUCGAUUGGUGGGUGUCUCACCCUUUUGAAGUCGGUCUUAGGAAGCCUACCUCUAUACUAUUUCUCAAUUUUCAAGGCUCAUAUUAGUGUUAUUGAGUCCCUUGAAAAAAUUUGUAGAAUAUUUCUUUGGGGUGGAACCGACAAGAAGAGAAAAAUACUUUGGGUCGCUUGGCCUAAAUUAUUAGCUUAAAAGGAAAAUGGAGGUCUUGGUGUUGGUUCAUUGCGUGCACUCAACAUUGCACUAUUGGUCAAACGAAUUUGGAGACCAAACGAUGUUAAAAAAAUCUACAGGGAAUAACAUUAUUACAAGCAUACACAACCUACAUAGAAAGCCAUUAAAAUUGCUCUCAAAAAGAUCAUUAAACGGCAUAUGGAACAACAUUGUAAAGGCAAACUCGGAACUUGAGAUGAUGGGAGUCGUCCCAGAUAACUUUAUUUUUUGUGAUUCUAGGAAACGGUGAGGAUACCAACUUCAGGAAUGAAAUUUAGCAAGGUACAUCUUCCUUCUCCACACAAUUGCCAAACAUAUUAUGCAUUAGAGAAGUGUAAAUCGGCGUACAUUUUGUAAUUUAUAUUUUGUUUUGAUGUCGUAUUUUCCCUUAAUCUCUGUACUCUCAAAAUUGUCUUUUUUGGUUGGCGCCUUGCUUAGCGACUUGCUAAGCUUGGCCUUAAUAAAUUCUCAUUGGUUCCAAAUAAUAAAAAAAAGUUAAUUUUCUGAUGGUUCGCAUAAAGGUGCGUACAUAUGACAUUUAUUAACACAAACAAAAACUCAGGAGUUCAUACUCAAUAAGAACAAUCCAAAUAAUUUAGAUAAUACUAUCGAGAAAUCCCUGUAGGUGAGUGUAAAUGGCUAUACAUGAUAUCACAUAGUCAUAAAUUUUAAUGACAGCCUUGAAAAAAUGUCUCAAAUUAAGUUGUUUGAUUGAAUUGGUAAAAUGUAGUAGUUAACCCAAAAGUUUUUCGGAAGGUUCAUUCAUUAUCAAAAGUUAAAAGUUGUUUCGAUGAGUGAAAUCUUUAAUCCGUUAUAUAGUCAUAGAAUAAGAAAAUAAUGUGUUAGUAUUUUUUUACUAAUCCGUUAUAGAUAACAAUCUGAAAUGAAUAUUUCAUUGAUUAUGUAUUUAGAAUGAUACAAAACUUCAAAAACGUUCUUUAAUGGAAUUGUAGUUUUUCUGUUCUAGAGCACUAAUGAUCCUUUGGGUUACUACUUUUCAACCCCAAAGUAAUAUCAUUGUCUUAAGAUUUCAUCAGCAGUCGAAAAUACAAAUACAACCAUAAUGGCUCAUAUCACUUGAGAGCUCGCAAAUUCCAUUGCCCUUGUGUUUUUGAUAACAUUGCUCACGACAAUCACCAAGAGUACAAGCAUUUGGAUCCAACACCUCUGUACAUCUAUGCUGUCCAUUCACAGUGGAAGCUCCAACUGAAAAAUGAAAAAUAAAAUAAAAUAAACACGUUAAAUUUUAAUACGAACCAUAAAGUAAUAGAUAUUACAUAUAUGGCUAUCUUAAUAAAUAAAAAUAGAAGUCCUUGUAUGAAAAAUUCUCCAGCAAGAGAUUGGACAUGUUUGCAAUCAAUUAACAAAAUAUUAUCGAAUGCCUGUUCCCAGUUACAAAGAAACUUCAUGUAUAUUAAAAUUAAAAUAAUACCGUUCCAAAAAAAAUAUUUUAAUUUUAAAAUAAAAUUUUGGAAGCUAAACAUAUACAGAUCGAGAACACAAACCUGAGAUUACAACAAUGAAAACUAAGAAGAAAGAUGCAAGCUUGGCCAUGUUAAUGUGCAAUCACAGAGACUCAAUUCAGCGUGGGAUUUCGAUAUGUUUUGGUUUAGGGAUUGAUAAUCUUCAUUUAAAUAGACAUAGUGACCAUUAUUCUCUCUCAUGUUUUUCUAAAGUUACCGCUACAAAACAGCAACCUGUUAAAUGAAGGUAAUUAAUGAAAAAAAACUUCCAAUUGCAGUAAUAAGCUUUUCAAUUUAUCAUAUACUACACACACAAUCAACUCUCAAUCAGAGAUUGACGACACAAAUAUACAUUAAAAAUUCAUUAAUUUAUCAUUCACUUCAAAUGUUAUUUAAAAAAUGAUUCAUCAAAAUCAAAAUUGAGUCCAAAGUCUUAUGAAACCAUCAAUUAUGAGGUGAUUAUGCGUUUAAACGUAUAUAUAUUAAUUAAAUUUAAUAUAUAGUAGGUGUGAAACUCGUGUAUUACGCAUAGUUUAUUAAAAAAAUUAAUAUAAUCUUCUAAACCUUAAGAAAUUAUUAAAGUAAUGGUUUUACUUAUAUACAAAGUUUUUGAUGAAUAAGUAUGUAGUUGAAUCCAAUGUACUAAGAAUUAGUAUUGAGAUGGUAACACUCUAAUUUGGUAAGUUUUGCAUUUAACCCUCUUUAUAAAAAACUUUGCACUUUGGUCCUUUAGCUAGUAUACUAGGUGGUACGCUUGGCGUACUAGCCUGAUAUUGAUCACGGGUUCGAUCCACGUAUGCGGCGCGUACAUGGAGUACGCAUGGCGUAUGCAGGCUUGGGACAAACCCUAAUUUUUAGGGUUUGUGCCCUAUUCAAGCAUCAUAAACUCACCUCCUGGACAUUUUAGACCAACCUAAUAUCGCCCUAGCCUUUGUUUUAAAAAAAAACAUACCAGGAACCCAACAUUACACUAAUAUCGCCCUAGCCUUUGUUUUGGUGCUUUUGAGCUCUUGUGAAGCAUUUUGGUGUGUUCUUGUGUAUUUUGAAGUGGUAGAGGAGAUUGAAGGCUUAUUCAUUGGAGUGGAGCUUAGAGAUCCGGAUUUGGCAUCACCAUUUCGAGAUCUUUGAGGUAUAAAGUUUGUAUCUUGCCAACUUCUUGUAUAGAUCUACUCUUGGGUUCGUUUAUGACUACUUUGGUCCCUUUUUGUUGGUCCUUGUGAGAAAAGGUCGUUUCAGAAGCUUAACCCUUUAGAUCUGGACAUUUUAGGAGUCCCUUAUGCAUAAAAAUGCAAACUUUAUGGUGUUAAUGGAAUCAUGCAUGAGUUAAGACCUUUGUUAAGCUCUUUUGAGCUCUAGAGCCCCAUUAAGUCAUGCAUGCAUGUAAAGUUCCCAACUUUACGUGAUAAGCCAUGUUUUGAGACAAGGUCUAAGAGUAUGGAGUAGAGCUGAACCGUUUAAGUGCUUAAUGAAGUGGGAAUGGCACACCGGGGAGUAUGGCGGGCGGUGCGCUGCACGUAAUAGCCCUAGAAACAGUAUGCAUAGCGUACGAGCUAAGUACCCCCCGUGUACUCAACAUAUGGGUUUGGGUUAGACAUUCACGGUGUUGUGCCAUUGUUUGGGCUUCCAUUUCUUACGCCUUGUUGGACCAACAGACUUUUGUGUUGGACUUAAACUAGCUUGUUAGGCUUCAUUGGAUUUUAGGCCCAUGAUGGGUCUUAGGCCCAAUUUCGAAGAUUGGUCCACAAUUGGGCCUUGGGUUGUCAAUUAGAGUUUGGGAUUUUUAGUAAUAGGAUUGGGCCUUUCUUUGGGCAAUAGAUUAGACCAAUGAUUUUUGAUUAAGACCUAAUUAAUAAAUUGGAUAUUUUUAAUAUUCAUAGCACGGGGAUUUUCGGACGAGAAGCCAGAAAUUUAUUUGUGUGAUUCAGUAGUUUGAGGUGAUUCUUUAUCACCAUGUUUAGCGGGUCGAAGGCACCAAUACUGACCCAUGGCUUACUAUGUUAGAGGGUUAGACGUUUGCAUGACUCUUGCAUGUGCAUAUAUUUGUAUGCUUAGCGGGCGGGGCCCAAUGCUUAUUCUGUAUGCUAUUACUUGCUAUACUUGUAUGUCUGUAUGUUGGGCACGGCCCGUUAUACUUAGUGGGUACGGCCCAUUUUGCGAGUUAGUGCGAGGCCCGUUAUACUUAGUGGGUGGGGCCCGUUACACUCAUCGGCAGGGCCCAUUAUAUGUUUGAUAUGUGUGGUAUGUGGUAUCUGGGGGAAAGUCAUUAAGCUUCGUGCUUAUGGUUUUUUUUUUAUGUUUCAGGUAUUUCUAUUAUAAAGGGGAAGAGCUCGGGGUGAUUGUAGUGCACACACUUUGAUCUAUCUUGGUUGUAUGAAUAAGUUUUGAGUUACUAUUUUAUAAAUUCUAAAAUGAAAAUUUUGGGUUUUAUUUUUGGGACAUUAUAGAGAUAUUUUAUAUAAUUGUAAUGAAUCACAAAUUUCCAAAUAUUUCUUUGAAAACAACAUUAGAUGUGUUAUUGGUAAUGUUACAUCAUUGUCUAAAAUUAAUAUUUUCAAUUUAUUUCUGCUAUGAACUCUAUUGAAAAAACAAACAUAGAAAUAAAAUUAGCCGUACUUAAAAAGAGAGGAAUAAUGGCUUGAUUAUUAUCGAAAAUUUUGAGAAUUAUUAAAAAGGUUACACAUAUAUGAGAACUAAUAUUUUAGUGUAUAAAGAUGAAUGAUACAUAUAAAUUAGCAAAACCAAAUUUUCCCUUGAAAAUAAUAAUAAUAAUAAUAAUAAUAAUAAUAAUAAUAAUAAUAAUAAUAAUAAUAAUAAUAAUAAUAAUAAUAAAUUGUUAAUGCAUGCAUUACUCAAUCUACUGGUGUUAAUUAUGUAAAUCUUAUAAAAAUUAGGGGUCCCAAUGGAAAUUUACAAUAUGAUAUGAUGAGUACAACACCAAGAAAAUGCUUGGACCAACUUUGAUGUGUUCGGAAAAACACUAACAAUUUAGUCUCUCACGUGUCAACAACCAAAUUACCAAUUUAUUCACGAAAUAUAUUUAUAAAUAAAAUUAAUUUAAUAUAAAUUUACCCUUUUGCUAGCAGUCCAAUUCUUUAGUGCAUAUUUUUUUUUUCAGAUUCUUCCAUUAUUCUGAUUUGCAAUAAUCAUUUUUAAAUGUCUAAGUUUAAGUUUGGAAUUAUAAUUAUGAUAAAUAAGAAUUCAAAAAGCAUAAUACCAUGUUAUUAUGUUUUAAAUUAAAAGGUGAAAUUGUUUAUAUUAAUAAUAUACAAUAUGCGAUAGAACAAAUAUACUUGUUAACCUUUCAACCCCAUGUAUUCUAUAAGACUAAUCCAUGUACUAUUUAGACUAUUUUUCGUGUCGUACAGCCGCAACAAAGAAAGCAUUUAGGGUGGAAAAGAAUGGAAAAAACAUUCAAGUUUGCAAAAUCUAGUGUUUUUUUUGGGGGAAUUGUACAACUACAAUGGUUCAAUUUUAAAGCUAAAGUUGCAUAAAAUGGUUUCUAGUGUCGAACACUUCUUCCAAUGAACAUUUAAUAGGAACCAAACAUAAAUAUAUUUACAUUAAAUAGUAACUUGAACAAAAUAAUAAUAAGAAAAGUUAAAGAACAUGUAAAUGACCUAUAUUUGAGGGAUGACUAGUUCUCCAAGAUAAUGGCCUACUAUCAAGAGGUAGACCAUUGGUCUUAAUGUUGCUCACUCUGAUAUGAAGACUUUUUCAUUCAUUAAUUUAAGUAGCAACUUACUUUCAAUUAUGUGUUUAAAGUAGCAUCACAACUUCAUUUAUUUCGAUUACAAUUUUUAAAAUAAUAUGUAAGAUGCUAUGAUAAACAAAACAAUGAAAGUACAUUGCUUUUUUUCCCGGUUAAAAUAACAAAGUGGUCCACUUUCGCCAUCUCCCUUUAUUAUUGCAAUGGAAGGACUCAACAUUGCCAUUCAAGAAGCUUGUGAAAAAUUCUUAUUUCACGACAUUCGCCUCCCAAAGAGUGACUCUAACCUCUCUCAUCCUUUCUACACCGAUGAUGCGCUCUUUAUAGGCGAUUGGUCACAGAACAACCUCAAAAACUUAGCAAGAAUACUUUGGUGCUUCCACGUGGCCUCCGCUUUAAAGUUGACUUUUAUAAAUCGAAGGUGUUUCGUAUUGGUGUCUCCGAGAGGAAAUUGGCUUGUAAUGCUAGGAUACUUGGGUGUGAUGUAGGAUCCUUUCCUUUCAAUUACCUUGGGGUCCUGGUGGGAGCAAAUAUGAAUCUCAUUAAAAAUUGGAAGCUCAAAGUUUAAGCUAGGUUCUCUUCUUGGAAAGUUAACACGUUAUCGAUUGGUGGGUGUCUCACCCUUUUGAAGUCGGUCUUAGGAAGCCUACCUCUAUACUAUUUCUCAAUUUUCAAGGCUCAUAUUAGUGUUAUUGAGUCCCUUGAAAAAAUUUGUAGAAUAUUUCUUUGGGGUGGAACCGACAAGAAAAGAAAAAUACUUUGGGUCGCUUGGCCUAAAUUAUUAGCUUAAAAGGAAAAUGGAGGUCUUGGUGUUGGUUCAUUGCGUGCACUCAACAUUGCACUAUUGGUCAAACGAAUUUGGAGACCAAACGAUGUUAAAAAAAUCUAUAGGGAAUAACAUUAUUACAAGCAUACACAACCUACAUAGAAAGCCAUUAAAAUUGCUCUCAAAAAGAUCAUUAAACGGCAUAUGGAACAACAUUGUAAAGGCAAACUCGGAACUUGAGAUGAUGGGAGUCGUCCCAGAUAACUUUAUUUUUUGUGAUUCUAGGAAACGGUGAGGAUACCAACUUCAGGAAUGAAAUUUAGCAAGGUACAUCUUCCUUCUCCACACAAUUGCCAAGCAUAUUAUGCAUUAGAGAAGUGUAAAUCGGUGUACAUUUUGUAAUUUAAAUUUUGUUUUGAUGUCGUAUUUUCCCUUAAUCUCAGUACUCUAAAAAUUGUCUUUUUUGGUUGGUUCCUUGCUUGGCGACUUGCUAAGCUUGGCCUUAAUAAAUUC
Molecule: long non-coding RNA, 14244 nt
Filed under: Lactuca sativa (garden lettuce)
Lineage: Eukaryota; Viridiplantae; Streptophyta; Magnoliopsida; Asterales; Asteraceae
Description: long non-coding RNA (LSAT_LNC009385)
Source: RNAcentral